GCGUGAGUGAUGAAGGCCCUAGGGUUGUAAAACUCUUUCGCGCACGACGAUAAUGACGGUAGUGCGAGAAGAAGCUCCGGCUAACUUCGUGCCAGCAGCCGCGGUAAUACGAAGGGGGCUAGCGUUGUUCGGAUUUACUGGGCGUAAAGCGCGCGCAGGCGGUCCUUCAAGUCAGGGGUGAAAGCCCAGAGCUCAACUCUGGAACUGCCUUUGAGACUGUAGGACUUGGGUAUGGGAGAGGUGAGUGGAAUUCCGAGUGUAGAGGUGAAAUUCGU
This 275-nucleotide ribosomal RNA is filed under the name uncultured bacterium. RNAcentral's name for it is "partial 16S ribosomal RNA". It matches the Rfam family "Bacterial small subunit ribosomal RNA", at positions 399 to 691 of the family's 1533-position model. The record is from RNAcentral.